This 205-nucleotide ribosomal RNA is filed under the name uncultured bacterium. Its description in RNAcentral is "partial 16S ribosomal RNA". It matches the Rfam family "Bacterial small subunit ribosomal RNA", at positions 524 to 728 of the family's 1533-position model. The record is from RNAcentral.
UACGUAGGGUGCGAGCGUUAAUCGGAAUUACUGGGCGUAAAGCGUGCGCAGGCGGUGAUGUAAGACAGAUGUGAAAUCCCCGGGCUCAACCUGGGACCUGCAUUUGUGACUGCAUCGCUGGAGUGCGGCAGAGGGGGAUGGAAUUCCGCGUGUAGCAGUGAAAUGCGUAGAUAUGCGGAGGAACACCGAUGGCGAAGGCAAUCCC